CCUACGGGUUGCAGCAGUGGGGAAUAUUGCACAAUGGGCGCAAGCCUGAUGCAGCCAUGCCGCGUGUGUGAAGAAGGCCUUCGGGUUGUAAAGCACUUUCAGCGAGGAGGAAGGUGGUGAGCUUAAUACGCUCAUCAAUUGACGUUACUCGCAGAAGAAGCACGGGCUAACUCCGUGCCAGCAGCCGCGGUAAUACGGAGGGUGCAAGCGUUAAUCGGAAUUACUGGGCGUAAAGCGCACGCAGGCGGUUUGUUAAGUCAGAUGUGAAAUCCCCGGGCUCAACCUGGGAACUGCAUUUGAAACUGGCAAGCUAGAGUCUCGUAGAGGGGGGUAGAAUUCCAGGUGUAGCGGCGAAAUGCGUAGAGAUCUGGAGGAAUACCGGUGGCGAAGGCGGCCCCCUGGACCAAGACUGACGCUCAGGUGCGAAAGCGUGGGGAGCAAACAGGAUUAGAUACCCCGGUAGUC
This 465-nucleotide ribosomal RNA is filed under the name uncultured bacterium. Its description in RNAcentral is "bacterial SSU rRNA". It matches the Rfam family "Bacterial small subunit ribosomal RNA", at positions 338 to 795 of the family's 1533-position model. The record is from RNAcentral.